Molecule: ribosomal RNA, 670 nt
Filed under: Bacillus cereus
Lineage: Bacteria; Bacillati; Bacillota; Bacilli; Caryophanales; Bacillaceae
Description: bacterial SSU rRNA
Rfam family: Bacterial small subunit ribosomal RNA
Source: RNAcentral
AGCGAAUGGACCAGAGCUUGCUCUUAUGAAGUUAGCGGCGGACGGGUGAGUAACACGUGGGUAACCUGCCCAUAAGACUGGGAUAACUCCGGGAAACCGGGGCUAAUACCGGAUAACAUUUUGCACUGCAUGGUGCGAAAUUGAAAGGCGGCUUCGGCUGUCACUUAUGGAUGGACCCGCGUCGCAUUAGCUAGUUGGUGAGGUAACGGCUCACCAAGGCAACGAUGCGUAGCCGACCUGAGAGGGUGAUCGGCCACACUGGGACUGAGACACGGCCCAGACUCCUACGGGAGGCAGCAGUAGGGAAUCUUCCGCAAUGGACGAAAGUCUGACGGAGCAACGCCGCGUGAGUGAUGAAGGCUUUCGGGUCGUAAAACUCUGUUGUUAGGGAAGAACAAGUGCUAGUUGAAUAAGCUGGCACCUUGACGGUACCUAACCAGAAAGCCACGGCUAACUACGUGCCAGCAGCCGCGGUAAUACGUAGGUGGCAAGCGUUAUCCGGAAUUAUUGGGCGUAAAGCGCGCGCAGGUGGUUUCUUAAGUCUGAUGUGAAAGCCCACGGCUCAACCGUGGAGGGUCAUUGGAAACUGGGAGACUUGAGUGCAGAAGAGGAAAGUGGAAUUCCAUGUGUAGCGGUGAAAUGCGUAGAGAUAUGGAGGAACACCAGUGGC